Molecule: ribosomal RNA, 406 nt
Filed under: uncultured bacterium
Lineage: Bacteria
Description: partial 16S ribosomal RNA
Rfam family: Bacterial small subunit ribosomal RNA
Source: RNAcentral
AUUGAACGCUGGCGGCAGGCCUAACACAUGCAAGUCGAGCGAGCGGCGGACGGGUGAGUAAUGUCUGGGAAACUGCCUGAUGGAGGGGGAUAACUACUGGAAACGGUAGCUAAUACCGCAUACCAUCAGAUGUGCCCAGAUGGGAUGAGCUGGUUGGUGGGGUAACGGCUCACCAAGGCGACGAUCCCUAGCUGGUCUGAGAGGAUGACCAGCCACACUGGAACUGAGACACGGUCCAGACUCCUACGGGAGGCAGCAGUGGGGAAUAGUGCGCAAUGGGCGCAAGCCUGAUGCAGCAAUGCCGCGUGUGUGAAGAAGGUCUUCGGGUUGUAAAGCACUGUCAGCGGGGAGGCGUUACCCGCAGAAGAAGCACCGGCUAACUCCGUGCCAGCAGCCGCGGUAAUUC